UCCGAUUUGAAUAUCGGCAGUCUCGCUAGAGUGCCCGGCCGAACCGCUGGCAACUAACGACAAGGGUUGCGCUCGCUGCGGGACUUAACCCAACAUCUCACGACACGAGCUGACGACAGCCAUGCACCACCUGUGCACAGGCCCCGAAGGGCUGCCGUAUUUCUACGACAUUCCUGUGCAUGUCAAGCCUAGGUAAGGUUCUUCGCGUUGCGUCGAAUUGAACCACAUGCUCCGCUGCUUGUGCGGGUCCCCGUCAAUUCCUUUGAGUUUUAACCUUGCGACCGUACUCCCCAGGCGGCACGUUUAACGCGUUAGCUUCGCCACAAAAGGGGUCGAUUCCUCUUACAGCAAACGUGCACCGUUUACAGCUAGGACUAC
RNAcentral lists this unclassified non-coding RNA (378 nucleotides) under uncultured bacterium. RNAcentral's name for it is "contains 16S-23S intergenic spacer region". The record is from RNAcentral.